UCACAGCUUGCGCCGGCAGUCUCGCCAGAGUCCCCAACUUGACUUGCUGGUAACUGGCGAUGGGGGUUGCGCUCGUUAUGGCACUUAAGCCGACACCUCACGGCACGAGCUGACGACAACCAUGCAGCACCUCGACACAGACUCCGUAGAGCUACCUCCUUUCAAAAGUAUUCCUGUGUCGUUUGAGCCCGGGUAAGGUUCCUCGCGUAUCAUCGAAUUAAACCACAUGUUCCUCCGCUUGUGCGGGCCCCCGUCAAUUCCUUUGAGUUUCACCGUUGCCGGCGUACUCCCCAGGUGGAAUACUUAACGCUUUCGCUGUAUCACUCAGGGAUCAUUCUCCCCGAACAAUUAGUAUUCAUCGUUUACUGUGUGGACUAC
Molecule: unclassified non-coding RNA, 378 nt
Filed under: uncultured Muribaculaceae bacterium
Lineage: Bacteria; Pseudomonadati; Bacteroidota; Bacteroidia; Bacteroidales; Muribaculaceae
Description: contains 16S-23S intergenic spacer region
Source: RNAcentral